GCUGGCGGCGUGCCUAACACAUGCAAGUACGCACGAAUGGUGGAGGGCUUGCUCUUCAUCGUUAGUGGCGGACGGGUGCGUAACACGUGAGCAACCUGCCUUCCGGUGGGGGAUAGCCGGCCUAACGGCCGGGUAAUACCGCGUACGACUUCGGGCUCGCAUGGGUCUGGAGUGAAAGCGGGCGCAAGCUCGCGCCGGAAGAGGGGCUCGCGACCUAUCAGCUUGUUGGUGAGGUAACGGCUCACCAAGGCGACGACGGGUAGCUGGUCUGAGAGGAUGAUCAGCCACAUUGGGACUGAGAUACGGCCCAGACUCCUACGGGAGGCAGCAGUGGGGAAUAUUGCGCAAUGGCCGCAAGGCUGACGCAGCGACGCCGUGUGUGGGAUGAAGGCCUUCGGGUUGUAAACCACUGUCA
RNAcentral lists this ribosomal RNA (415 nucleotides) under uncultured bacterium. RNAcentral describes it as "bacterial SSU rRNA". It matches the Rfam family "Bacterial small subunit ribosomal RNA", at positions 35 to 438 of the family's 1533-position model. The record is from RNAcentral.